Molecule: non-coding RNA, 424 nt
Organism: Mugil cephalus (flathead mullet)
Lineage: Eukaryota; Metazoa; Chordata; Actinopteri; Mugiliformes; Mugilidae
Source: the annotation of a RefSeq genome assembly
AUGAUGAUGUCACUGACUCUACUGCUGGCCACCCUGGGGCUCCUUGUUCAGGGUUCAUCAGGACAAAUAAUCCUGACUCAGUCUCCUGGAUCUCAGUCUGUUCUUCCAGGACAGUCUGUCAACAUUAAAUGUAAAAUGUCAUCAAAUGUUUAUAGCUCCAACCGUUUACACUGGUACCAACAGAGAGAUGGAGGAGUUCCUAAACUUCUCAUUUAUUAUGCUAGCAAUAGAGCAUCAGAGAUUCCAGAUCGUUUUUCAGGCAGUGGAUCAAACUCUGACUUCACUCUGACCAUAAGUGGAGUCCAGACUGAAGAUGCAGCAGUUUAUUACUGUCAGAGUUUUCACUGGAUCAACAGUCAGGAUGUGUUCACACAGUGAAAAAGUGUCGUACAAAAACCUCCCUCAGUCAGACUGAACAGAAACU